RNAcentral lists this ribosomal RNA (253 nucleotides) under uncultured bacterium. Its description in RNAcentral is "partial 16S ribosomal RNA". It matches the Rfam family "Bacterial small subunit ribosomal RNA", at positions 524 to 776 of the family's 1533-position model. The record is from RNAcentral.
UACGUAGGGUGCAAGCGUUGUCCGGAAUUAUUGGGCGUAAAGAGCUCGUAGGCGGUUUGUCGCGUCUGCUGUGAAAACUCGGGGCUUAACCCCGGGCCUGCAGUGGGUACGGGCAGACUAGAGUGCGGUAGGGGAGACUGGAAUUCCUGGUGUAGCGGUGAAAUGCGCAGAUAUCAGGAGGAACACCGAUGGCGAAGGCAGGUCUCUGGGCCAUAACUGACGCUGAGGGACGAAAGCUAGGGGAGCGAAAGGG